CCUACGGGAGGCAGCAGUGGGGAAUAUUGCACAAUGGGCGAAAGCCUGAUGCAGCAACGCCGCGUGAAGGAAGGCGGUUUUCGGAUUGUAAACUUCUGUUCUUAGUGAAGAAUAAUGACGGUAACUAAGGAGCAAGCCACGGCUAACUACGUUCCAGCAGCCGCGGUAAUCCGUAGGUUGCAAGCGUUGUCCGGAAUUACUGGGUGUAAAGGGAGCGUAGGCGGGAAGCCAAGUCAGCUGUGAAAACUACGGGUGUAACCUGUGGACUGCAGUUGAAACUGGCUUUCUUGAGUGAAGUAGAGGUUGGCGGAAUUCCGGGUGUAGCGGUGAAAUGCGUAGAUAUUCGGAGGAACACCGGUGGCGAAGGCGGCCAACUGGGCUUUAACUGACGCUGAGGCGCGAAAGUGUGGGGAGCAAACAGGAUUAGAUACCCGUGUAGUC
RNAcentral lists this ribosomal RNA (441 nucleotides) under uncultured bacterium. RNAcentral describes it as "partial 16S ribosomal RNA". It matches the Rfam family "Bacterial small subunit ribosomal RNA", at positions 338 to 795 of the family's 1533-position model. The record is from RNAcentral.